UAGGGAAUCUUCGGCAAUGGACGAAAGUCUGACCGAGCAACGCCGCGUGAGUGAAGAAGGUUUUCGGAUCGUAAAACUCUGUUGUUAGAAAGAACAAGGACGUUAGUAACUGAACGUCCCCUGACGGUAUCUAACCAGAAAGCCACGGCUAACUACGUGUCAGCAGCCGCGGUAAUACGUAGGUGGCAAGCGUUGUCCGGAUUUAUUGGGCGUAAAGCGAGCGCCGGCGGUUUCUUACGUCUGAUGUGAAAGCCCCCGGCUCAACCGGGGAGGGUCAUUGGAAACUGGUAGAGUUGAGUGCAGAAGAGGAGAGUGGAAUUCCAUGUGUAGCGGUGAAAUGCGUAGAUAUAUGGAGGAACACCAGUGGCGAAGGCGGCUCUCUGGUCUGUAACUGACGCUGAGGCUCGAAAGCGUGGGGAGCAAACAGG
This 428-nucleotide ribosomal RNA is filed under the name Gemmatimonadota bacterium. RNAcentral describes it as "Gemmatimonadetes bacterium partial 16S ribosomal RNA". It matches the Rfam family "Bacterial small subunit ribosomal RNA", at positions 355 to 776 of the family's 1533-position model. Lineage: Bacteria; Pseudomonadati; Gemmatimonadota. The record is from RNAcentral.